Molecule: ribosomal RNA, 231 nt
Filed under: uncultured bacterium
Lineage: Bacteria
Description: partial 16S ribosomal RNA
Rfam family: Bacterial small subunit ribosomal RNA
Source: RNAcentral
CGGGCAGUGGCGGACGGGUGAGUAUCGCGUAGGGAUUUAUCGUUGGGUGGGGGGAGUAACCUUGGGAAAACUGGGGCUAAUACCGCAUGACGCCCGAGGGCCAAAGCUGAGGCGCCUGACGAGAAGCCUGCGUCCGAUUAGGUAGUUGGUUGGGUAAUGGCUGACCAAGCCUGCGAUCGGUAGCUGGUCUGAGAGGAUGAUCAGCCACACUGGGACUGAGACACGGCCCAG